GUUGUGUGUUGUCUUGAAGGGCGUAUGGUGGAUGCCUUGGCAGACAGGACCGAUGAAGGACGUGGGGGGCCGCGAUAGGCCUCGGGGAGCCGCCGACCGGGCUUUGAUCCGAGGAUUUCCGAAUGGGGGAACCCAGCCGCCGUCAUGGGCGGUUACCGCUUUUGCGGGGGGUACGCAGGGAAGUGAAACAUCUCAGUACCUGCAGGAAAGGAUAUUCCGUGAGUAGUGGCGAGCGAAAGCGGAUCAGGCCAAACCUCAUGCGUGUGAUACCCGUCGGGGGUUGCGUGUGGGGUGUUGUGGGAGCGUGUGUCCCGGUGCCGACGUGCCGGGCGAUGGUGAUAAAGACGUGUGUUAGGGGAACCGGAUUGAAUGCCGGGCCGUAGAGGGUGAGGGCCCCGUACCCGUAUGCGCAUGUCCCGUCGAUCGUGUGUCCCAAGUAGCACGGGUCCCGUGGAACCCCGUGCGAAUCCGUCUCGACCGUGAGAUAAGCCUAAAUAUUCCUGUCUGACCGAUAGUGAACUAGUACCGUGAGGGAAAGGUGAAAAGCACCCCGGGAGGGGAGUGAAACAGUCCCUGAAACCGUGCGCCUACAAACCGUCGGAGCCUUUAGGGGUGACGGCGUGCCUAUCGAAAAAUGAGUCUGCGAGUCAGUGGUGCGUGGCGAGCAUAACCCGUGUGGGGUAUGCGUAGCGAAAGCGAGUCUUAAAAGGCGUUUUAGUCGCGUGUCCUGGACCCGAAGCGGGAUGAUCUAGCCCUGAGCAGGUUGAAGCGCGGGUAAGACCGUGUGGAGGACCGAACCCACCUGGGUUGAAAACCGGGGGGAUGACUUGGGGUUAGGGGUGAAAGGCCAAUCAAAUUCCGUGAUAGCUGGUUCUCUCCGAAAUGCAUUUAGGUGCAGCGUCAGGUUAUUGCGUCCGGGGGGUAGAGCUACUGGAUGCUUGCGGGCCCGUAUCGGGUACCAAUAGCAACCAAACUCCGAAUACCCGUGACGUGUAUCCUGGCAGUGACCCGGCGGGGGAUAAGCUUCGUCGUGGAAAGGGAAACAGCCCAGACCGUCGUCUAAGGUCCCCAAGCGCGUGCUAAGUGGGAAAGGAUGUGGAGUCGCAUAGACAGCCAGGAGGUUGGCUCAGAAGCAGCCACCCUUGAAAGAGUGCGUAACAGCUCACUGGUCUAGUGGUUCCGCGCCGACAAUGUAGCGGGGCUCAAGCACGCCACCGAAGACGCGGCAAUCGCCUUUUGGCGGUUGGGUAGGAGAGCGUCCCCUGCGGGGCGAAGCGGCGGUGGAAACCGGCCGUGGACUGCAGGGGAGUGAGAAUGCAGACAUGAGUAGCGAAAGCGGGGUGAAGAUCCCCGCCGCUGGAUGACCAAGGGUUCCAGGGCCACGUUCAUCGUCCCUGGGUGAGUCGGGUCCUAAGGCGAGGCCGACAGGCGUAGUCGAAUGGAUGAACGGGUCGAUAUUCCCGUACCGGCUGGCGACCGNNNNNNNNNNNNNNNNNNNNNNNNNNNNNNNNNNNNNNNNNNNNNNNNNNNNNNNNNNNNNNNNNNNNNNNNNNNNNNNNNNNNNNNNNNNNNNNNNNNNNNNNNNNNNNNNNNNNNNNNNNNNNNNNNNNNNNNNNNNNNNNNNNNNNGUUGGGACUGUAGCGGUAGUAGGUCAGCGCAGGAGUGACACGGAAGGGUGGCCGGCUCCGGAGGUGGUUUUCCGGGGCCAAGCACGCAGCCCGUCCCCCAGGCAAAUCCGGGGGGCAUCGUGGGUGAGGUGCGAUGGGACGCGCGUUAGCGUGGAUCCGGUGAUCCCGGCCGUCGAGAAAAGCUUCGGCGUGAGGGCGUCAGUCCGCCCGUACCCCAAACCGACACUGGUGGUCAGGUAGAGAAUACCAAGGCGAUCGAGCGAAUCCUGGUCAAGGAACUCGGCAAAUCACUCCCGUUCCUUCGGUUUAAGGGAGACCCCCGAUGGUGAACCGCCUCGCGCGGGGAGCUGUUGGGGGUGGCACAGACCAGGGGGUAGCGACUGUUUACCAAAAACACAGGUGCAUGCGAAGACGCAAGUCGCUGUAUAUGCACUGACGCCUGCCCGGUGCCGGAAGGUUAAGAGGAUCCGUCAGCACUUCGGUGUGAAGCGGUGAAUUCAAGCCCCGGUAAACGGCGGUGGUAACUAUAACCAUCCUAAGGUAGCGAAAUUCCUUGUCGGGUAAGUUCCGACCUGCACGAAUGGCGUAACGACUUCCCCACUGUCUCGACCAGGAGCUCGGCGAAAUUGCAGUACGAGUAAAGAUGCUCGUUAAGCGCAGAAGGACGAAAAGACCCCGGGACCUUUACUAUACCUUGGUAUUGGCAUUCGGUGUGGAUUGUGUAGCAUAGGCGGGAGACUUCGAAGCGCCGGCGCCAGCCGGUGUGGAGUCGCAAGGUGAAAUACCGCUCUGUUCGCAUUGGAUGUCUAACCUCGACCAGUCAUCCUGGUCAGGGACAGUGCCUGGCGGGUAGUUUAACUGGGGCGGUUGCCUCCCAAAGAGUAACGGAGGCGCCCAAAGGUUCCCUCAGCCCGGUUGGCAAUCGGGUGUCGAGUGCAAGUGCACAAGGGAGCUUGACUGCGAGAGCGACGGCUCGAGCAGGGACGAAAGUCGGGACUAGUGAUCCGGUGCCGGUGUACGGACGCGGCAUCGCUCAACGGAUAAAAGGUACCCCGGGGAUAACAGGCUGAUCAUUCCCAAGAGUCCAUAUCGACGGGAUGGUUUGGCACCUCGAUGUCGGCUCGUCGCAUCCUGGGGCUGGAGCAGGUCCCAAGGGUUCGGCUGUUCGCCGAUUAAAGCGGCACGCGAGCUGGGUUCAGAACGUCGUGAGACAGUUUGGUCUCUAUCCUCUGCGCUCGUUGGAAUGUUGAGGAGGCCUGCCCAUAGUACGAGAGGACCUGGGUGGACGAACCUCUGGUAUGCCGGUUGUCGCGCCAGCGGCACGGCCGGUUGGCUACGUUCGGAAGGGAUAACCGCUGAAAGCAUCUAAGCGGGAAGCCUGCUCCAAGAUAAGCAUUCCAUGCAGCCUUCGAGCUGCUGUACCCCCCAUGUAGAACACGUGGUCGAUAGGCCGGACGUGGAAGCCCCGCGAGGGGUGGAGCUGACCGGUACUAACGGGGAAACGACAACA
This 3138-nucleotide ribosomal RNA is filed under the name Bifidobacterium callitrichidarum. RNAcentral's name for it is "23S ribosomal RNA". It matches the Rfam family "Bacterial large subunit ribosomal RNA". The record is from RNAcentral. Lineage: Bacteria; Bacillati; Actinomycetota; Actinomycetes; Bifidobacteriales; Bifidobacteriaceae.